Molecule: ribosomal RNA, 548 nt
Filed under: uncultured Bifidobacterium sp.
Lineage: Bacteria; Bacillati; Actinomycetota; Actinomycetes; Bifidobacteriales; Bifidobacteriaceae
Description: bacterial SSU rRNA
Rfam family: Bacterial small subunit ribosomal RNA
Source: RNAcentral
CUCCUGGAAACGGGUGGUAAUGCCGGAUGUUCCAGUUGAUCGCAUGGUCUUCUGGGAAAGCUUUCGCGGUAUGGGAUGGGGUCGCGUCCUAUCAGCUUGACGGCGGGGUAACGGCCCACCGUGGCUUCGACGGGUAGCCGGCCUGAGAGGGCGACCGGCCACAUUGGGACUGAGAUACGGCCCAGACUCCUACGGGAGGCAGCAGUGGGGAAUAUUGCACAAUGGGCGCAAGCCUGAUGCAGCGACGCCGCGUGAGGGAUGGAGGCCUUCGGGUUGUAAACCUCUUUUAUCGGGGAGCAAGCGUGAGUGAGUUUACCCGUUGAAUAAGCACCGGCUAACUACGUGCCAGCAGCCGCGGUAAUACGUAGGGUGCAAGCGUUAUCCGGAAUUAUUGGGCGUAAAGGGCUCGUAGGCGGUUCGUCGCGUCCGGUGUGAAAGUCCAUCGCUUAACGGUGGAUCCGCGCCGGGUACGGGCGGGCUUGAGUGCGGUAGGGGAGACUGGAAUUCCCGGUGUAACGGUGGGAUGUGUAGAUAUCGGGAAGAACACC